Molecule: ribosomal RNA, 481 nt
Filed under: uncultured bacterium
Lineage: Bacteria
Description: partial 16S ribosomal RNA
Rfam family: Bacterial small subunit ribosomal RNA
Source: RNAcentral
GACGAACGUUGGCGGCGUGCUUAAUACAUGCAAGUCAACUGAAGCAGUGGUAGCAAUAUCGCUGUGGAGGUGGCGCACGGGUGAGUAACACGUAGGUAAUCUGCCUUCAGGUCUGGCAUAACUCCGGGAAACCGGGGCUAAUAGCAGAUGAUGCAGCGGCUCGACAUCGAGACAGUUGUUAAAGCUAUGGCGCCUGAAGAUGAGCCUGCGUCUGAUUAGCUAGUUGGCGGGGUAACGGCCCACCAAGGCAACGAUCAGUAGCUGGUCUGAGAGGAUGAUCAGCCACACUGGAACUGAGACACGGUCCAGACUCCUACGGGAGGCAGCAGUAGGGAAUAUUGCUCAAUGGGAGAAAUCCUGAAGCAGCAACGCCGCGUGAGGGACGAAGGGCUUUUGCUUGUAAACCUCUGUAGUGAGAGAAAAAAAUCCCAAUCUUUGGGACAUGAUGGUAUCUCAAAAGUAAGCCCCGGCUAACUACGUG